Molecule: unclassified non-coding RNA, 284 nt
Filed under: uncultured fungus
Lineage: Eukaryota; Fungi
Description: partial contains small subunit ribosomal RNA, internal transcribed spacer 1, and 5.8S ribosomal RNA
Rfam family: Eukaryotic small subunit ribosomal RNA (bases 1-73)
Source: RNAcentral
GCAAACUUGGUCAUUUAGAGGAAGUAAAAGUCGUAACAAGGUCUCCGUUGGUGAACCAGCGGAGGGAUCAUUACUGAGUCUCCGACUCCCAAACCACUGUGAACAUACCCGAGAAAUCGCAUGCUCCGGCGCGGCCGCCCCUGGGAGGGGCGCUGGCCGCGAGGCGCCCGCCGGAGCUGAGCUCGCAAAGUCUGCCGUUACAGGUCUUCUGAGUGGCAUCGCGAAAUAGCGUAACAACUUUCAACAAUGGAUCUCUUGGCUCCGGCAUCGAUGAAGAACGCAGC